GACGAACGCUGGCGGCGUGCCUAAUACAUGCAAGUCGAGCGGACUUUCCGGAGUGCUUGCACUCCGGAAGGUUAGCGGCGGACGGGUGAGUCACACGUAGGCCACCUCCCCAUAAGACCGGGAUCACAUUCGGCACCGAAUGCUAAUACCCGAUAGCCGGCCCCCUCGCAUGACGGGCUCGCGAAAGGCGGAGCAAUCUGCCGCCCCUGGAUGCGCCUGCGGCGCAUCAGCUGGCUGGUGGGGUAACGGCCUACCACGGCGGCGAGGCGCAGCCGCCCUGAGAGGGUGAUCGGCCACACUGGGACUGAGACACGGCCCAGACGCCUACGGGAGGCAGCAGGAGGGAAGCUUCGGCAAGGGGCGCAAGUCUGACGGAGCAACGCCGCGUGAGUGAGGAAGGCCGUCGGGUCGUAAAGCGCUGUUGCCAGGGAAGAACGGGUAGGGGAGUAACUGCGCUGGCCGUGACGGUACCUGAGAAGAAAGCCCCGGCUAACUACGUG
Molecule: ribosomal RNA, 500 nt
Filed under: uncultured bacterium
Lineage: Bacteria
Description: partial 16S ribosomal RNA
Rfam family: Bacterial small subunit ribosomal RNA
Source: RNAcentral